AUUUAUUCAUGCACUGCAUGAAGGAUGGAAGCAGGAUGAAUAAAUCACAGAGCAUUGCCCCUCUCCCCACUCAGGGUCUGUGAAGAGAGCUGGAGCAGAAUACAGUCCAGGCAUUAUGUCAACUUUCAGGGGACCUGGGGCAGGUGGCCGAUUCUCACAGAGACCCCACUUCCCUUUCCUGUGAAAAAUACCACAGCCCAACAGCCACUGGAGAACAGUGUUCUUCUGGAAGCUUCCUCUGGGCAGGAGGAGUCAAAGAUCCUGGUCCUCAGGGACACUUGAGAUGGGUGUGCCCAAAGCUGUGCAGGAUGGUUUGGUUUGUUUUGUUUUUCUUUGCCUCAGGAAGAAUGUGUUCACAAACCUCAGGACAAAUCGUUUAAAAAAGUGUCCUGACAGUUGUCAUGCUUCAUCACUUGAUUUAGAGGCAAUAGGACAGCCUUAUUUUCUUCUAAUCUCUGGUGGUUGAGGAGUCUGGUUGGCCUGGCAGAAGGCUGAGAUUGGCUGAGGGAGUCAUGAGCGAGCAGGGGCCUCUGGUGCCUGAAGCGCCCCUCAGGAAGAGCGGGUCUCACCGGAAGGCCACACUCAUCUCCUUCCUGGUUACCCAGUGUGGGGAUUUGCUACUUUGCUGAGUGUGUUUUGUCUACAUUCAUGGUGCUCCAGAACUGUGUCUGUGUUUCUCACAUUCUCUUUCGUGUCUGCCAGAGCAACAUUCUCAGCAAACCAUCUGAAUGCAACUCCUGUGAUCACAAAAGUCAAUCACUGAUGGAAAUGAAGACCACGACCCUGAUUCCUCAGGCACAGGUUUUCAUCUGUCACUAUGUGCUAAAAGCAAACCAGCAAGUGAGGGUGUCACUGUCAACUGCUCCUUGUCGUGAGAUUCCCACCUUUCCCUCAAGACAUCUCAGAUAUCAUAUGUAACCUUGACCCUGUGUCCCACAGCAACAGCGGUCAUUGAGUGUAAAGCCUUUUCCUUGAGGAUUGUGGUAGACAGAAUGCCCCCCAAAGGUGACUAUGCUUGAAUCCAUGGAAACUGAACAUGUCACCUUCUAUGGCAAAAGGGACUUUGCAGACGUGAUUAAGGUUAAAGACCUUAAAUUAGAGGGAGUACCCUGGACUAUCCAGGUGUCUAAUCUAAUCCCAUGAGACUUCAAAUGCAGAGAGCUUUCUCUGGCUGGAGUCAAAGAGAUGUGACAAAAGAGGUCGUCGGAGAGAUUGGAAGUGUGAGAAAGACCCGACCUACUGUUUCUGGGGAGCCCACCUGGAAAGCACGAGAAGGGACACAGGCAACCUUUGGGAACAAAGACUGCCAGCCACAAGGAAAAGACAGCAGUCCUCUAGCCACAAGAAACCGAAUUCAGCCAGCAACCUGGACAAGCUAGAAGAGCAUUCUUCCCCAGAACCUUUAGGAGGAAGUGAGGCCUUGCAGAUACCCUGAUUUUGGCUUUUGAGACACUAAACAGAGGAUCCAACUGAGUUCAACUGGCCCAGAAACUGAGAUAUGUUUGGACUGUUUUAAGUUGCUACGUUUGUGGUAAUUUAUUUUGGUGGCAACUGAAAAUGAAUGUAAUUGUAUAUUAGAAAAAUUGAAGGUAGAAGCUCUAAUACUUUCUCCCCACACCCCAGUGGUUCAUCAUGUGCAGCACUCAGGGUGUGGAAAUUCCAUUUUGAAGACACCGUCUUCCAGGAUUCUAACCCCCACCUGGGAAAGGUCCUGGAGAGAACUUCUAGCAUGUAUUUCUGAGCCAUUCACAUUUAACCCAGAGAGAGAAGGUGUCCUGCCCAAACGCAAAGCAGCAUGGCGGUAGUUCUGGACAUAACCUUAACAAUUGCCAGGAACUCUCUGGAUGUCCAUCCAUCAGCCCUAUCUAGUCUUUUUGUCUGCAUGGCAUUGUGGGGGAUGUGGCGAUGAGGGCCAGGAUCGCAGAAGUCAGAGUACCCGUGGCUGGAGCUUCCAUUUUAAAUGAAGUGUUCUUGCUUAUGGCUUGAUGGUAUCCUUUCAGAUUUUGCAUCUGGCUGUACUCCAGAUGUUUAUAUAGAAACUUCACAGUAGACAUGAUGGUGGCGUAGGUUUGCAGGAAGGAUCCUUUCCUACUUACAGAGUGACCCAAUGUGGCCGAUCCCUUCAAUAUUUACAACAGCUGGGUGAGUGGAGGCAUGAUCAACUCCAUUUACCCGUCAAAUAAAUGAAAUUUCAGAGCGGUUACACAAUCUGCUUGAGGUAACAAGGCCAGCAAGCCACAGAGCCAACAUACCCCUGGUGCCUGGCUCCACAGGAGUCUGGGAAGAGGGAGAGGAAGAUGGGGACAGGAUGUAUCACCAGGAUGCUAGGGGAAGAGAGAAUAUUGACGUGUGGGGCAGCCUGCAUCCCCAAAUCAGGAGCACUGGGUGCUGCUGUGUUACAGUGAGUGUAGGAGCAUGCCGUUCUGGGCUUCACUCUGCCCAAAUAUGUCUUGCUCAUUUUCACCGCCAUAUGGCUGCUCGUCCCGGUCUGUUUGAGGUUCCUUCCUGUUCCCUCUCUGCCUCUAAGUCCUUCAAAAAGCCAACUGGAAGUGCCUCUUCCAGGCUUUCCUUAGCCUUUCUUUAUUCCCUUGAACUUCUAUUAUGUUAAUUGUUCAAAAGAUUAGUUCUGACACUUACCCUAUGCUGCUUUGUAUUACUAUUGGAAAACAACAGUAGCUCUCUCAACCCAUUGGGUGGAUGGUACAUGCCAUGCUUUAUACAUUCCCGUGGCCCUGCUGUACCUGGCACACACAAA
RNAcentral lists this long non-coding RNA (2755 nucleotides) under Homo sapiens (human). RNAcentral describes it as "non-protein coding lnc-BCL11A-2:1". Lineage: Eukaryota; Metazoa; Chordata; Mammalia; Primates; Hominidae. The record is from RNAcentral.